This 459-nucleotide ribosomal RNA is filed under the name uncultured bacterium. Its description in RNAcentral is "partial 16S ribosomal RNA". It matches the Rfam family "Bacterial small subunit ribosomal RNA", at positions 28 to 507 of the family's 1533-position model. The record is from RNAcentral.
GAUGAACGCUGGCGGCGCGCCUAACACAUGCAAGUCGAACGGCACCCCUCCUCGGAGGGAAGCGAGUGGCGAACGGCUGAGUAACACGUGGAGAACCUGCCCCCUCCCCCGGGAUAGCCGCCCGAAAGGACGGGUAAUACCGGAUACCCCGGGGUGCCGCAUGGCACCCCGGCUAAAGCCCCGACGGGAGGGGAUGGCUCCGCGGCCCAUCAGGUAGACGGCGGGGUGACGGCCCACCGUGCCGACAACGGGUAGCCGGGUUGAGAGACCGACCGGCCAGAUUGGGACUGAGACACGGCCCAGACUCCUACGGGAGGCAGCAGUGGGGAAUCUUGCGCAAUGGGGGGAACCCUGACGCAGCGACGCCGCGUGCGGGACGGAGGCCUUCGGGUCGUAAACCGCUUUCAGCAGGGAAGAGUCAAGACUGCACCUGCAGAAGAAGCCCCGGCUAACUACGUG